Podarcis lilfordi (Lilford's wall lizard) is the source of this 108-nucleotide non-coding RNA. NCBI's taxonomy places the organism in Eukaryota, Metazoa, Chordata, Lepidosauria, Squamata, Lacertidae. The record is from the annotation of a GenBank genome assembly.
AACUAAGUUAGUUAUUGGUAUGAGCUUUUGUGUGCAUGCACACUUCUUCAGAUACUUCUUUUUGUGUGCAUGCACAUGAAAGCUCAUACCAAUAACUAACCAAUAACU